This is a long non-coding RNA of Cervus elaphus (red deer), 3130 nucleotides long. RefSeq lists it as uncharacterized. Lineage: Eukaryota; Metazoa; Chordata; Mammalia; Artiodactyla; Cervidae. The transcript is spliced from 4 exons. The record is from RefSeq and is a predicted model, not a curated record.
CAGGUUUGGAUGACCUCCACAGAGAAGUCAAGCCAAUUCCCAUGAGGUUUAAACACAGUGCUCCCAGGAAGGCUAGUCAAAGUUGAAGGACAGACCUGGAAGAGAUCUCAUGGAGCCCAUUUCGUUCAGUCACUUUGUUUUACAACGAUGGACCUGAGGCUCGUAAAGGCCCAUCCUAGACUACAGAAAAUGACCUGAUCCCUUUUUCUGUUGCCUGGAGCCUGUGUAAAGCCCAUCUCAGAACCAGCCCCACAACCAGCCUAAUUGGGUAGCAUAACUCUGCCACUGGGGGAAGAAAUCAGCCGGUGAAGAUUGGGACUCUCACAAGCCUCCUUCUCCCUUUUGGUCCUCUCCCAAGAGAUUCCUGUCUACGACAGACUCUGGACAUCCUGCUCAGAGACCACAAGAAGCAAGUUUCCUAUAUCACAGAACCAAGAAGCAGCAGAAUUCUUCUCAGUAUAAAGAGAAUGGGAUGGAUGUAUCAAAUUAGCUUAUGAGAUACUCUGGAAUUUUCUGGAAGACAGAAAGUGGUUGGAAGGAUAGUGACCUGGACAAAGGGAAGCUGGGGCAUUUAUGCAAGGACACCCCUCUCCCCUAGGUCCCUAGGUCAGGAUCUGCCUUGUAGAGGUCACUGGGGCCACAAAUGCCACUGUGAGGACAUGUCUGAGCUUGUACAGAACCAUCCAUCUCAACUGCUGCUGCAAUUCAAGGGGGGCUGCAGGGGUGGGCAGCUGGCACCAGAGAGGACACAAUUGCCACACCCAGCUGGAAAUGGAAGAGUCAGAACUCAAUCGUGCAUCUGAAUAGGACAGUCCUGUUUAAAAGUGUCUGGGGCUUCCCCACAACCAAAGUUGAAGGAUAAGAAUGAUUUUCAGAUCCUUUAAGCUCGUGUGUGUGUGCAUUUUUCAGGGGUGAGAAAGUCUAUAAUUUUCAUCAUGUUUUCAGAAGGGUCCAUGAUAAGUGCUUAAGACCCACAAACAACAAGUUUCUUAACAUGACAGGUGUGGUUCUGUACAUCCAGACUCACCGACCUCUCCAGAGCCUCAUCUCCUCCCAGUGUCCUCUCCCCAUCCAUCCUCCCACACUCACUGAACCCUGGGUUCCAGUCAGAGACCUUCUCACCAGUCUCAAGAGCCAUAAGCUCUUAACUACAACUUUGAUUUAAUACACGUCUUUCUCUCUGCCAAGAAUGCUAUUCCCCCUUUGCCACUUCCUCAGGCCCUGCUCUAAACAGGGUAUACUUCUUAUCCUUUAAGACUCAGCAAUAAAAUCAUCUCUUCUGCUGUGCCCACUGCCCCCUUCACCGGCCCAGUCUCUUCCUCCAUGUUUUCCUAAUCAAUUUCAUUCACCUGUGAACAUAGCACUUAAGCUUUGGUGUUGCAACUCUUCCUGGGCUCUCUCUUCCAUUCAUCAGUGAAUUCUUGAAAGCACAGACCAUGCCCUCACCACCCAAACCAUAACCCGCAACAGCAGACUAUGCUAGCACUGGAGCAGUGAAGGGACUGGGUGGAAUGCAUGAAGACGGGAUUGACUGCAUUUAUCAACGUGGCCAUAUAUCUCCUUGGAUCUUACAGACAGCCUGACCUUGAGAGGCUGGAUCUUCAUAACCAGGCUCCUUGCUCAGGUUGUUAGAAUCUGUCCUGGUCCAACUGCACAUUUCUGGCUGAUUCCUACUCAUUUUUAAAGAACGACUGUGAAAAAAGAAUAAUCAGAACUAGGAAGGAGACUUGGAAAUUAAAAAUGUAACUGGUGACAAAAAAAAUUCAGUAGGAGGUCUGGAAGGGAGAGUUAGAGGAGAUCUUAGAAAGUGGAGAAAGCACCCAAGGCUGGUAUGCAUGUCCUUUUUUGAGGCAUCCUGGACAUGCCUUCCCACCAGAGCAUGUAUCUGUCACCCUGCAUUGUAAUGGCCAGUUGAUGGAUUUCUAACCCCCAGUAGGCUGGGCUUCCUUCAGAGCUGGGACUGUGUCUCUUUCCGCCCCAUCACCUCUCACAGUGCUUGGCACAGAGUAGGUGCUAACACACAUUUCUAUUUAAAGAAUGAACAAUAAACCCAUGAAGGAGUGAAGACAAGCUUCAGCUGGGCUCGGGGUUGAGCGAGGCUCUGUAGUAACUAGUUCUGGGGUUUGUAGAAAAGCUGGGUGACUGCAGAUCCCAGGGGUACUCCUCCAGGGAAAGGGCCAGACUGGGGCAGCAGGCAGGGUCCCAGCUAUUGUGAGUUUGCCUGAACAGGGAAAGGGUGAUAAGCAGGGCAGACACGAGUGGCUGGAUCCACUGAGAACCGGAAGAGAAGAAAGGAGAGGGGAGAGCUCAGCCAGCAGUUAAUAUUUUGUGAGGAAUUUCUAUGUGCCAGACCCUGCAUUAAGGACUUGUCAUGCAUUCCCUCACUUACCCUUCAUAAGCCUCCCACAAAAAUAGCUACAAUUUUUACUGCAUCCAUUUUCUAAAUGAAAAGAUGAGGUGUCCACAUAAGUAUCUAACCCAAGGUUCUAGAGCUGGUAAAAUGGAUUUGGGAUCUGUGUGGCUCUAAUUACUGGGCUGGUGUUCCUGGAAAAAAGUCCCAUCUGCCAGAGGUUGGUUCUUGCUGGGUAUCACAGCUAGGGGACCCUGCUGAAGAUGCUGAGUCUUUCCCAAAUGACUGCAGGCUCCCUUUCCCAGAAAACGCUGUGUGGGAGAGUAAAUAGCUGGGUUUGGGGCAUAAUGGUUUUCUUCUGUUUUGUGUUACUGGAUUUGAUGCACAGAAAACUGCCCAGACCUCAAAUAAUUACAGUAAGACGACUCUGCUUCCUUCACGUGGCCACAGCAGACAGGCAGGAGCCCAGAGACACUGCAAAGUGAGUGUUGUAACCAUCAGAUGGGAAAAAGCAGGAGCCCAGAAUUGGGAAUUUCAGACAGAACCGCAAGUACAGCGUGGCAUUUGGCAGAGAUGAGUAAAGCCCCCACCCCUAAGAGUUCACUGGCUUGUUUCAUGUAAAAAAAUCACUUAAUAAAACACUUAAUAAAAAGACUUUGAAGACAUGUAAUUAAGGGGGAAGAAGGCAAGUUGUAAGACAGUUUGUGCACUGGGUACCAUUUGUGUCAGAGAAAAAUGCCACCAGACAGACAGUCUACAGUCUAGACGACCAUACACUGU